AGAGUUUGAUCAUGGCUCAGAACGAACGCUGCCGGCAGGCCUAACACAUGCAAGUCGAACGCUCGUAGCAAUACGAGAGUGGCAGACGGGUGCGGAACACGUGGGAACAUAUCCUUUGGUUUGGAAUAACUCAGGGAAACUUGAGCUAAUACCGGAUAAGCCCGUAAGGGGAAAGAUUUAUCGCCGAAGGAUUGGCCCGCGUCCGAUUAGCUAGUUGGUGAGGUAAUGGCUCACCAAGGCGACGAUCGGUAGCUGGUCUGAGAGGAUGAUCAGCCACAUUGGGACUGAGACACGGCCCAAACUCCUACGGGAGGCAGCAGUGGGGAAUAUUGGACAAUGGGCGCAAGCCUGAUCCAGCCAUGCCGCGUGAGUGAUGACGGCCCUAGGGUUGUAAAGCUCUUUCACCCACGACGAUAAUGACGGUAGUGGGAGAAGAAGCCCCGGCUAACUUCGUGCCAGCAGCCGCGGUAAUACGAAGGGGGCUAGCGUUGUUCGGAUUUACUGGGCGUAAAGCGCGCGUAGGCGGAUCUUUAAGUCAGGGGUGAAAUGCCGGAGCUCAACUUCGGAACUGCCUUUGAUACUGGAGAUCUUGAGUUCGGGAGAGGUGAGUGGAACUGCGAGUGUAGAGGUGAAAUUCGUAGAUAUUCGCAAGAACACCAGUGGCGAAGGCGGCUCACUGGCCCGAUACUGACGCUGAGGCGCGAAAGCGUGGGGAGCAAACAGGAUUAGAUACCCUGGUAGUCCACGCCGUAAACGAUGGAUGCUAGCCGUUAGGCAGCUUGCUGCUUAGUGGCGCAGCUAACGCUUUAAGCAUCCCGC
This 819-nucleotide ribosomal RNA is filed under the name uncultured bacterium. RNAcentral describes it as "bacterial SSU rRNA". It matches the Rfam family "Bacterial small subunit ribosomal RNA", at positions 8 to 872 of the family's 1533-position model. The record is from RNAcentral.